GAAACGCGAUAGUUAAUGUGAAUUGCAGAAUUCAGUGAAUCAUCGAGUCUUUGAACGCACAUUGCGCCCAUAGGUAUUCCUUUGGGCAUGUCUGUUUGAGCGUCAUCUACACCCUCAAGCUCUGCUUGGUGUUGGGCGUCUGUCCCGCCUCCUUCGCGCGCGGACUCGCCCCAAAUCCAUUGGCGGCGGCCCUUGCCUCCCUCUCGCGCAGCACAUUGCGCUUCUCGAGGCGCGGCGGACCGCGUCCAGCAAGCAACCGUCACACCGUCUUUGACCUCGGAUCAGGUAGGGAUACCCGCUGAACUUAAGC
RNAcentral lists this unclassified non-coding RNA (310 nucleotides) under plant metagenome. RNAcentral describes it as "partial contains 5.8S ribosomal RNA, internal transcribed spacer 2, and large subunit ribosomal RNA". The stretch from base 1 to 105 matches the Rfam family "5.8S ribosomal RNA", at positions 50 to 154 of the family's 154-position model. The record is from RNAcentral.